GCAGUGGUGGUUCAGCAGUAGAGUUCUCGCCUUCCACCUGGGAGACCCAGGUUUGAUUCCCGGUCAAUGCA
Molecule: transfer RNA, 71 nt
Filed under: Loxodonta africana (African savanna elephant)
Lineage: Eukaryota; Metazoa; Chordata; Mammalia; Proboscidea; Elephantidae
Rfam family: tRNA
About the family: Transfer RNA (tRNA) molecules are approximately 80 nucleotides in length. Their secondary structure includes four short double-helical elements and three loops (D, anti-codon, and T loops).
Source: Rfam by way of RNAcentral